Molecule: non-coding RNA, 97 nt
Organism: Ataeniobius toweri
Lineage: Eukaryota; Metazoa; Chordata; Actinopteri; Cyprinodontiformes; Goodeidae
Source: the annotation of a GenBank genome assembly
GCGCUGGUGGUGUAGGGGUUUAAGCACGCAACCCAUGAACAAGAGGCUUUGGUCCUCAAUGCGGCAGUCCUGGGUUUGAGUCCCGGCCCUGGUGACA